RNAcentral lists this ribosomal RNA (253 nucleotides) under uncultured bacterium. Its description in RNAcentral is "partial 16S ribosomal RNA". It matches the Rfam family "Bacterial small subunit ribosomal RNA", at positions 524 to 776 of the family's 1533-position model. The record is from RNAcentral.
UACGUAGGGUGCGAGCGUUAAUCGGAAUUACUGGGCGUAAAGCGUGCGCAGGCGGUUUUGUAAGCCAGGUGUGAAAUCCCCGGGCUUAACCUGGGAACUGCGCUUGUGACUGCAAGACUCGAGUACGGCAGAGGGGGGUGGAAUUCCACGUGUAGCAGUGAAAUGCGUAGAGAUGUGGAGGAACACCGAUGGCGAAGGCAGCCCCCUGGGUCGAUACUGACGCUCAUGCACGAAAGCGUGGGGAGCAAACAGG